This 197-nucleotide ribosomal RNA is filed under the name uncultured bacterium. RNAcentral's name for it is "partial 16S ribosomal RNA". It matches the Rfam family "Bacterial small subunit ribosomal RNA", at positions 1302 to 1500 of the family's 1533-position model. The record is from RNAcentral.
AGGCUGCAACUCGCCUGCAUGAAGUCGGAAUUGCUAGUAAUCGCGGAUCAGCAUGCCGCGGUGAAUACGUUCUCGGGCCUUGUACACACCGCCCGUCACACCAUGGGAGUCGGUAACACCCGAAGUCUGUAGCCUGACGCAAGAGGGCGCAGCCGAAGGUGGGAUUGAUGACUGGGGUGAAGUCGUAACAAGGUAGC